AGUGAACGCUGGCGGUAGGCCUAACACAUGCAAGUCGAACGGCAGCACAGUAAGAGCUUGCUCUUACGGGUGGCGAGUGGCGGACGGGUGAGGAAUACAUCGGAAUCUACUUUUUCGUGGGGGAUAACGUAGGGAAACUUACGCUAAUACCGCAUACGACCUACGGGUGAAAGCAGGGGAUCUUCGGACCUCGCGCGAUUGAAUGAGCCGAUGUCGGAUUAGCUAGUUGGCGGGGUAAAGGCCCACCAAGGCGACGAUCCGUAGCUGGUCUGAGAGGAUGACCGGAAACAGGGGGAAUGAGAUGCGGCCAAGACUCGGAGGGGAGGAAGGAGUGGGGAAUAGGGAAAAAUGGGAGGAAGCCGGAUGAAGCAACGACGAGUGCGGGAUGACGGCCGUCGGGGUGUAAACAGCUGGCGCCUGUGACGAAGCGGGAGGGACGGUAAUGGGUAAAGAAGGACCGGCUAACUACGUG
Molecule: ribosomal RNA, 472 nt
Filed under: uncultured bacterium
Lineage: Bacteria
Description: partial 16S ribosomal RNA
Rfam family: Bacterial small subunit ribosomal RNA
Source: RNAcentral